This 692-nucleotide ribosomal RNA is filed under the name Microbacterium oxydans. RNAcentral's name for it is "bacterial SSU rRNA". It matches the Rfam family "Bacterial small subunit ribosomal RNA", at positions 408 to 1109 of the family's 1533-position model. The record is from RNAcentral. Lineage: Bacteria; Bacillati; Actinomycetota; Actinomycetes; Micrococcales; Microbacteriaceae.
AUGACGGCCUUCGGGUUGUAAACCUCUUUUGGUAGGGAAGAAGCCUUCGGGUGACGGUACCUGCAGAAAAAGCGCCGGCUAACUACGUGCCAGCAGCCGCGGUAAUACGUAGGGCGCAAGCGUUAUCCGGAAUUAUUGGGCGUAAAGAGCUCGUAGGCGGUCUGUCGCGUCUGCUGGGAAAUCCCGAGGCUCAACCUCGGGCUUGCAGUGGGUACGGGCAGACUAGAGUGCGGUAGGGGAGAUUGGAAUUCCUGGUGUAGCGGUGGAAUGCGCAGAUAUCAGGAGGAACACCGAUGGCGAAGGCAGAUCUCUGGGCCGUUACUGACGCUGAGGAGCGAAAGGGUGGGGAGCAAACAGGCUUAGAUACCCUGGUAGUCCACCCCGUAAACGUUGGGAACUAGUUGUGGGGUCCUUUCCACGGAUUCCGUGACGUACCUAACGCAUUAAGUUCCCCGCCUGGGGAGUACGGCCGCAAGGCUAAAACUCAAAGGAAUUGACGGGGACCCGCACAAGCGGCGGAGCAUGCGGAUUAAUUCGAUGCAACGCGAAGAACCUUACCAAGGCUUGACAUACACCAGAACGGGCCAGAAAUGGUCAACUCUUUGGACACUGGUGAACAGGUGGUGCAUGGUUGUCGUCAGCUCGUGUCGUGAGAUGUUGGGUUAAGUCCCGCAACGAGCGCAACCCUCGUU